RNAcentral lists this ribosomal RNA (253 nucleotides) under uncultured bacterium. RNAcentral describes it as "partial 16S ribosomal RNA". It matches the Rfam family "Bacterial small subunit ribosomal RNA", at positions 524 to 776 of the family's 1533-position model. The record is from RNAcentral.
UACGGAGGGGGCUAGCGUUGUUCGGAAUUACUGGGCGUAAAGCGCACGUAGGCGGCUUUGUAAGUUAGAGGUGAGAGCCCGGAGCUCAACUCCGGAAUUGCCUUUAAGACUGCAUCGCUAGAAUUGUGGAGAGGUGAGUGGAAUUCCGAGUGUAGAGGUGAAAUUCGUAGAUAUUCGGAAGAACACCAGUGGCGAAGGCGACUGACUGGACAAGUAUUGACGCUGAGGUGCGAAAGCGUGGGGAGCAAACAGG